UCCUACGGGGCGCAGCAGCGGGGAAUAUUGCACAAUGGGGGAAACCCUGAUGCAGCGACGCCGCGUGAGUGAAGAAGUAAUUCGUUAUGUAAAGCUCUAUCAGCAGGGAAGAAAAUGACGGUACCUGAGUAAGAAGCCCCGGCUAACUACGUGCCAGCAGCCGCGGUAAUACGUAGGGGGCAAGCGUUAUCCGGAUUUACUGGGUGUAAAGGGAGCGUAGACGGCAGUGCACGUCUGGAGUGAAAGGCGGAGGCUCAACCCCCGGCCU
RNAcentral lists this ribosomal RNA (268 nucleotides) under uncultured bacterium. Its description in RNAcentral is "partial 16S ribosomal RNA". It matches the Rfam family "Bacterial small subunit ribosomal RNA", at positions 337 to 622 of the family's 1533-position model. The record is from RNAcentral.